AUACUAAGAACUUUCCAGAGAUGGAUUGGUGCCUUCGGGAACUUAGAUACAGGUGCUGCAUGGCUGUCGUCAGCUCGUGUCGUGAGAUUGUUGGGUUAAGUCCCGNAACGAGCGCAACCUUUUCCUAUUUGCCAGCGGGUCAUGCCGGGAACUUUAAGGAUACUGCCAGUGACAAACUGGAGGAAGGCGGGGACGACGUCAAGUCAUCAUGGCCCUUACGGCCAGGGCUACACACGUGCUACAAUGGUCGGUACAAAGGGUUGCUACCUCGCGAGAGGAUGCUAAUCUCAAAAAGCCGAUCGUAGUCCGGAUCGCAGUCUGCAACUCGACUGCGUGAAGUCGGAAUCGCUAGUAAUCGCGGAUCAGAAUGCCGCGGUGAAUACGUUCCCGGGCCUUGUACACACCGCCCGUCACACCAUGGGAGUUUGUUGCACCAGAAGUAGGUAGUCUAACCGCAAGGAGGACGCUUACCACGGUGUGGCCGAUGACUGGGGUGAAGUCGUAACAAGGUAAGCGUAGAUGA
This 523-nucleotide ribosomal RNA is filed under the name uncultured bacterium. RNAcentral's name for it is "bacterial SSU rRNA". It matches the Rfam family "Bacterial small subunit ribosomal RNA", at positions 986 to 1509 of the family's 1533-position model. The record is from RNAcentral.